UGUCAUGUUGGACAGGCAUUCUGUAUCUCUUGAAAGAGCAUGGAUUUAUCCAUACUAGACAACAUGAAUGAAAUGAGACGUUCUCAGGGCUGCCAACCUUUCAGUUAAGGUUUUGUGGCAGUAUACUUCUUCUACAAUA
Marmota marmota marmota (Alpine marmot) is the source of this 139-nucleotide small nucleolar RNA. The record is from Ensembl. Lineage: Eukaryota; Metazoa; Chordata; Mammalia; Rodentia; Sciuridae.